UACGUAGGGUGCAAGCGUUGUCCGGAAUUAUUGGGCGUAAAGAGCUCGUAGGCGGUCUGUCGCGUCGGCUGUGAAAACCCGAGGCUCAACCUCGGGCCUGCAGUCGAUACGGGCAAACUAGAGUACUGCAGGGGAGACUGGAAUUCCUGGUGUAGCGGUGAAAUGCGCAGAUAUCAGGAGGAACACCGGUGGCGAAGGCGGGUCUCUGGGCAGUAACUGACGCUGAGGAGCGAAAGCGCGGGGAGCGAACAGG
This 253-nucleotide ribosomal RNA is filed under the name uncultured bacterium. RNAcentral describes it as "partial 16S ribosomal RNA". It matches the Rfam family "Bacterial small subunit ribosomal RNA", at positions 524 to 776 of the family's 1533-position model. The record is from RNAcentral.